RNAcentral lists this ribosomal RNA (450 nucleotides) under uncultured bacterium. Its description in RNAcentral is "bacterial SSU rRNA". It matches the Rfam family "Bacterial small subunit ribosomal RNA", at positions 354 to 796 of the family's 1533-position model. The record is from RNAcentral.
GUGGGGAAUUUUUCGCAAUGGGGGAAACCCUGACGAAGCAACGCCGCGUGGAGGAUGAAGGCCUUCGGGUCGUAAACUCCUGUCGACCGGGAAGAAUGCACCUGACCUAACACGUCGGCGUGUUGACUGUACCGGUGGAGGAAGCCACGGCUAACUCUGUGCCAGCAGCCGCGGUAAUACAGAGGUGGCAAGCGUUGUUCGGAAUUACUGGGCGUAAAGGGCGCGUAGGCGGCCCGUCAAGUCCCGUGUGAAAGCCCCCGGCUCAACCGGGGAACUGCACGGGAAACUAGCAGGCUUGAGUUCGGGAGAGGGAAGCGGAAUUUCGGGUGUAGCGGUGAAAUGCGCAGAUAUCCGAAGGAACACCGGUGGCGAAGGCGGCUUCCUGGACCGACACUGACGCUGAGGCGCGAAAGCUAGGGGAGCAAACGGGAUUAGAUACCCGGGUAGUCC